AGAGUUUGAUCCUGGCUCAGAGUGAACGCUGGCGGCAGGCCUAACACAUGCAAGUCGAGCGGCAGCGGGUCCUUCGGGAUGCCGGCGAGCGGCGGACGGGUGAGGAAUGCAUCGGAAUCUGCCUUUUUGUGGGGGAUAACGUAGGGAAACUUACGCUAAUACCGCAUACGACCGGCCAUCGACAGGUGGUUGGUGAAAGUGGGGGACCUUCGGGCCUCACGCGGAAAGAGGAGCCGAUGCCGGAUUAGCUGGUUGGUGGGGUAAAGGCCUACCAAGGCGACGAUCCGUAGCUGGUCUGAGAGGAUGAUCAGCCACACUGGGACUGAGACACGGCCCAGACUCCUACGGGAGGCAGCAGUGGGGAAUAUUGGACAAUGGGCGCAAGCCUGAUCCAGCCAUGCCGCGUGUGUGAAGAAGGCCUUCGGGUUGUAAAGCACUUUUGUUGGGGAAGAAAGCUGCCGGGCGAAUACCCUGGCGGGAUGACGGUACCCAAAGAAUAAGCACCGGCUAACUUCGUGCCAGCAGCCGCGGUAAUAC
RNAcentral lists this ribosomal RNA (537 nucleotides) under uncultured bacterium. RNAcentral's name for it is "bacterial SSU rRNA". It matches the Rfam family "Bacterial small subunit ribosomal RNA", at positions 8 to 526 of the family's 1533-position model. The record is from RNAcentral.